GAUGAACGCUGGCGGCGUGCCUAAUACAUGCAAGUCGAGCGAACGGACGAGAAGCUUGCUUCUCUGAUGUUAGCGGCGGACGGGUGAGUAACACGUGGAUAACCUACCUAUAAGACUGGGAUAACUUCGGGAAACCGGAGCUAAUACCGGAUGAUAUUUUGAACCGCAUGGUUCAAAAGUGAAAGACGGUCUUGCUGUCACUUAUAGAUGGAUCCGCGCUGCAUUAGCUAGUUGGUAAGGUAACGGCUUACCAAGGCAACGAUGCAUAGCCGACCUGAGAGGAUGAUCGGCCACACUGGAGCUGAGACACGGUCCAGACUCCUACGGGAGGCAGCAGUAGGGAAUCUUCCGCAAUGGGCGAAAGCCUGACGGAGCCACGCCGCGUGAGUGAUGAAGGUCUUCGGAUCGUAAAACUCUGUUAUUAGGGAAGAACAUAUGUGUAAGUAACUGUGCACAUCUUGACGGUCCCUAAUCAGAAAGCCACGGCUAACUACGU
This 496-nucleotide ribosomal RNA is filed under the name uncultured bacterium. Its description in RNAcentral is "partial 16S ribosomal RNA". It matches the Rfam family "Bacterial small subunit ribosomal RNA", at positions 28 to 506 of the family's 1533-position model. The record is from RNAcentral.